Molecule: ribosomal RNA, 702 nt
Filed under: uncultured bacterium
Lineage: Bacteria
Description: bacterial SSU rRNA
Rfam family: Bacterial small subunit ribosomal RNA
Source: RNAcentral
GAGUUUGAUCCUGGCUCACGACGAACGCUGGCGGCGUGCCUAAUACAUGCAAGUAGAACGCUGACUACUUUAGCUUGCUAGAGUAGAAGGAGUUGCGAACGGGUGAGUAACGCGUAGGUAACCUGCCUACUAGCGGGGGAUAACUAUUGGAAACGAUAGCUAAUACCGCAUAACAGUGUUUAACACAUGUUAGAUGCUUGAAAGAUGCAAUUGCAUCACUAGUAGAUGGACCUGCGUUGUAUUAGCUAGUUGGUGGGGUAACGGACCACCAAGGCGACGAUACAUAGCCGACCUGAGAGGGUGAUCGGCCACACUGGGACUGAGACACGGCCCAGACUCCUACGGGAGGCAGCAGUAGGGAAUCCUCGGCAAUGGGGGCAACCCUGACCGAGCAACGCCGCGUGAGUGAAGAAGGUUUUCGGAUCGUAAAGCUCUGUUGUAAGAGAAGAACGUGUGUGAGAGUGGAAAGUUCACACAGUGACGGUAACUUACCAGAAAGGGACGGCUAACUACGUGCCAGCAGCCGCGGUAAUACGUAGGUCCCGAGCGUUGUCCGGAUUUAUUGGGCGUAAAGCGAGCGCAGGCGGUUGAAUAAGUCUGAAGUUAAAGGCAGUGGCUUAACCAUUGUUCGCUUUGGAAACUGUUAAACUUGAGUGCAGAAGGGGAGAGUGGAAUUCCAUGUGUAGCGGUGAAAUGCGUAGA